Molecule: ribosomal RNA, 497 nt
Filed under: uncultured bacterium
Lineage: Bacteria
Description: partial 16S ribosomal RNA
Rfam family: Bacterial small subunit ribosomal RNA
Source: RNAcentral
GAUGAACGCUGGCGGCGUGCCUAAUACAUGCAAGUCGAGCGAACAGACGAGGAGCUUGCUCCUCUGACGUUAGCGGCGGACGGGUGAGUAACACGUGGAUAACCUACCUAUAAGACUGGGAUAACUUCGGGAAACCGGAGCUAAUACCGGAUAACAUGUUGAACCGCAUGGUUCAACAGUGAAAGACGGUCUUGCUGUCACUUAUAGAUGGAUCCGCGCCGCAUUAGCUAGUUGGUAAGGUAACGGCUUACCAAGGCAACGAUGCGUAGUCGACCUGAGAGGGUGAUCGGCCACACUGGAACUGAGACACGGUCCAGACUCCUACGGGAGGCAGCAGUAGGGAAUCUUCCGCAAUGGGCGAAAUCCUGACGGAGCAACGCCGCGUGAGUGAAGAAGGUCUUCGGAUCGUAAAACUCUGUUAUUAGGGAAGAACAAAUGUGUAAGUAACUAUGCACGUCUUGACGGUACCUAAUCAGAAAGCCACGGCUAACUACGUG